GAUGAACGCUGACAGCAUGCCUAACACAUGCAAGUCAACCUGAACUUCGGGGUGGGUGGCGGACGGGUGAGUAACGCGUAAAGAACUUGCCCCACAGCUAGGGAUAACUUUUGGAAACGAAUGCUAAUACCGGAUAUUAUCAUUAUAUGGCAGCGUAUAAUUAUGAAAGUUAUAUGCGCUGUGAGAGGGUUUUGCGUCCCAUUAGCUAGUUGGGGAGGUAACAGCUCACCAAGGCGAUGAUGGGUAGCCGGCCUGAGAGGGAGAGCGGCCACAAACGGAGGGAGUCAGAACCAGUACAGAUUCGUGAGGGAGGGGUGAGUGAGGAAUGAUGAAGAACCGGGAGACUGAUGAAGCAGUUCUGUGUGGAAAAUGAUGAUUGUCGGAAUGUAAAAAGGUUUCAGUAACGAAGAAGAUAAUGACGGUACCGACAGAAGAAGCGACGGCUAACUACGUG
RNAcentral lists this ribosomal RNA (454 nucleotides) under uncultured bacterium. RNAcentral's name for it is "partial 16S ribosomal RNA". It matches the Rfam family "Bacterial small subunit ribosomal RNA", at positions 28 to 507 of the family's 1533-position model. The record is from RNAcentral.